GUUCCCAGGUCAAGGGCACACUCAAAGCUUAGCUGUCCCACUAGAAUCUCUACACAAGACCUCAAGAUCCAUUUAUAGAAGCAUGUGAAGUGAGC
This is an unclassified non-coding RNA of Gorilla gorilla gorilla (western lowland gorilla), 95 nucleotides long. Its record names the gene 7SK. It matches the Rfam family "7SK RNA". From Rfam's summary of the family: 7SK was discovered as an abundant small nuclear RNA in the mid-70s but a possible function has only recently been suggested. Two independent studies have found that 7SK RNA binds the CDK9/cyclin T complex (known as elongation factor P-TEFb). NCBI's taxonomy places the organism in Eukaryota, Metazoa, Chordata, Mammalia, Primates, Hominidae. The record is from Ensembl.